AUAUCAGUCAUGCAUAGCAUAUCAAUAAGCGGAGGAAAAGAAACUAACAAGGAUUCCCCUAGUAACGGCGAGUGAAGCGGGAAGAGCUCAAAUUUGAAAUCUUAAAGGGUUUCCCUUUACGAAUUGUAGUUUAAAGAAGUGUUUUCUGUUAGAGUUUCGGUAAAAGUUCUUUGGAAUAGGACAUCAUAGAGGGUGAGAAUCCCGUAUUUGACCGUUAUUUCUAGCUUUGUGAUACACUUUCAAAGAGUCGGAUUGUUUGGGAAUGCAGUCCAAAAUGGGUGGUAAAUUUCAUCUAAAGCUAAAUAUUGGCGAGAGACCGAUAGCGAACAAGUACCGUGAGGGAAAGAUGAAAAGAACUUUGAAAAGAGAGUUAAACAGUACGUGAAAUUGUCAAAAGGGAAGCGUUUGACACCAGUGUUGUUUAAUUGAAAAUCAAUUAACUAAUUUUUGAUUUUAAAUAGUAUUGACUUUAUCAGCUUGCUAUUUUCUUUUCGGAAAUUAUUUAAUGCACUUUUCAAUUAACAAGUCAACAUCAAUUUCUUUUGUUGUAAAAAGGUAAGAGGAAGGUGGCUUAUGCUUCGGUAUAAGUGUUUAUAGCCUUUUACCUCUGCAAUCGGAGAGAUUGAGGUCUGCAGCGUAGAUCCUUCGGGGUUAGAUACAUUUGUGCUAAGUUAUAGUAUUUUAUAGACAACUUGUUGACUAUGAUUUAUCAUGUAGCUUACUCGCUUAUGCUAUUUUACCUACGCUUAGGAUGUUGAGUAGCGACAGUAUCUCUGUAGAGUCUGCAUAUCAAUAAGCGGAGGAAAAGAAACUAACUAGGAUUCCCUCAGUAACGGCGAGUGAAGCGGGAAGAGCUCAAAUUUGAAAUCUUCAAGGUUCUACCUUGACGAAUUGUAGUUUAAAGAAGUGAUUUCUGUUGGUGUUUUGGUAAAAGUUCUUUGGAAUAGGACAUCAUAGAGGGUGAGAAUCCCGUAUUUGACCAUUAUUUCCAGCUUUGUGAUACACUUUCAAAGAGUCGGAUUGUUUGGGAAUGCAGUCCAAAAUGGGUGGUAAAUUUCAUCUAAAGCUAAAUAUUGGCGAGAGACCGAUAGCGAACAAGUACCGUGAGGGAAAGAUGAAAAGAGCUUUGAAAAGAGAGUUAAACAGUACGUGAAAUUGUCAAAAGGGAAGCGUUUGACACCAGUGUUGUUUUUCUGAAAAUCAAUUAAAGAACUGUUUAUGCUAAGCUGUUUAGACUUUAUCAGCUAAUCUGUUUAGUUUUGAGCUUUUCUUUAAUGCACUUUUCAGUUAACAAGUCAACAUCAAUUUCUUUUGCUGUAAAAAAGCUUGAGGAAGGUGGCUUGAGAUUCGUCUUAAGUGUUUAUAGCCUCUUGCCUAUGCAGUCGGAGAGAUUGAGGUCUGCAGCGUAGAUCCUUCGGGGCUAAAUGCAUUUGUGCUAAGUUAUAGCAUUUUAUAGACAACUUGUUGACUAUGAUUUGUCUUGUAGCUUACUCGCUUAUGUUAUUUUACCUACGCUUAGGAUGUUGACGAUCAGCUGAGCGCG
This 1543-nucleotide ribosomal RNA is filed under the name uncultured Neocallimastigales. Its description in RNAcentral is "partial large subunit ribosomal RNA". The stretch from base 750 to 1543 matches the Rfam family "Eukaryotic large subunit ribosomal RNA", at positions 1 to 636 of the family's 3401-position model. Lineage: Eukaryota; Fungi; Neocallimastigomycota; Neocallimastigomycetes; Neocallimastigales. The record is from RNAcentral.